AGUGAACGCUGGCGGCAGGCCUAACACAUGCAAGUCGAGCGGCAGCGCUAAGGGCAACCUGAGGCGGCGAGCGGCGACGGGUGAGGAAUGCAUCGGGAUCUACCCUGGUCGUGGGGGACAACGUAGGGAAACUUACGCUAAUACCGCAUGAUCUGGAGACAGCAAAGCCGGGGACCUUCGGGCCUGGCGCGAUGGGAUGAGCCGAUGUCCGAUUAGCUAGUUGGCGGGGUAAAGGCCCACCAAGGCGACGAUCGGUAGCUGGUCUGAGAGGAUGAUCAGCCACACUGGAACUGAGACACGGUCCAGACUCCUACGGGAGGCAGCAGUGAGGAAUCUUGCGCAAUGGGGGCAACCCUGACGCAGCAACGCCGCGUGAGUGAGGAAGGUCUUCGGAUCGUAAAGCUCUGUUGGGUGGAAAGAAAUGUAUGGGGUUAACAGCCUGCAUACUUGACGGUACCACCAAAGGAAGCACCGGCUAACUCCGUG
RNAcentral lists this ribosomal RNA (486 nucleotides) under uncultured bacterium. Its description in RNAcentral is "bacterial SSU rRNA". It matches the Rfam family "Bacterial small subunit ribosomal RNA", at positions 30 to 507 of the family's 1533-position model. The record is from RNAcentral.